Molecule: long non-coding RNA, 1622 nt
Organism: Puntigrus tetrazona (Sumatra barb)
Lineage: Eukaryota; Metazoa; Chordata; Actinopteri; Cypriniformes; Cyprinidae
Exons: 3
Source: RefSeq, a predicted model, not a curated record
GUAUAAGGGAGGCCGAGCGCUUGAAAAGGCCGGGAGCAUGUGGCCAUGCCUGGGCAGAAUCCACCAGUCAAGCAGAGAGGACGAUACACUUAGCACUCAGCAGAAGAGGAAAGAUGGGAACGCAAAGGUGUGGGGAGAGCUUCGAUUCGUUGCUAGACUGAGUUGGCUUUAGGCUGUGUUUUUUUUCGGAACUAGAGUAGGCUAGUACGUGAUGCUAAUUACAACAUCUGAGACUGCUUUAAAGUCUUUUCUCGUCCUUUAAUUGGCAAGGCAGUUGAGAUUAAAAGUCUGCGAAUUAUUUCAGAUAGCCCAUUUCAUGUCUGGGAUAAGCGAGUUGCAAUUCGUCAGAACUAAAAUUGCUUCUUUGAAUGUUUUCAAUUACAUACUGUAGCGCUGUAUACGUUAUAUAUAGCUUCAUUUUGAUUCAGACGGAGAUGCUGGGUGACAUCUCUGUUUUACGAGGGGAGCAAAUGGAAGAUUUUACACCUCUGCCAUCGGAAAUGGCGCUGUUAAAGGAAGUGGAGAAUGAGAACGCUUCGGGUCUGUUUAUAUGUGAGAAGGUGUUCGAGUGCUAGUCCUCUCCUGCUUGGCUGGCUAACCUCCAUGUUCCUUGUCUGUGGACACUUGUCAAAACAAAAAUGAUGAUGAAAAAGGAAGAGAUAACGACAUACAGGUAAGCAGCGAGAGUGAUUUGCCAAACUCGUGAACAUAAGCUCCUGCCGUUCUCUCUGUCUGAAGCAGCACGCCUUGCUGUGGCUGGUCAAAUGGAACCAAGUCAGGUGUUUCUGCGAGGUUUGGUCCCCUUCAACCAGCUACUGCGUCGUGAAUACAGCCAACAUAGAGCACAGAUUAUAAGACAAUCAUUCAGUCUGCUUUUUUAAAAUGUACUAACCCUAUUUUUUUCAUUAUGGUUUUUGUUUCUUCUAAAAUUCAAUAAAGUUUUUUCCUUUUUCAUGUUGGAUUAAUUUUCUCCUUCUUAAUUCUGAUAUUAAUUAAUUAUUCUUUCUAUAUUAAUCUUUCGGUCCCCGAGCUCUUCAUUCGUUGCCUUUCACUUGUGAAAAGGAAGCUUAAUAAGUGCGUAAUUGCACUGAUUGUUGUAUUGAUUUUUGAAUUGCGUUGAACGUGUACUUCAAAUCUUAAAAGUAUAUUUUCAUGAAACUGUAACUGUGCAGAUCCUAUGAAAUGUAUGAAAUAAAAGGCCACACACAAUUAUUUUUAUGAAAAGUUCCAUGGGUGUAAUUGUUUUUAUACUGUACAAACUGUGUUAUAUCCCUACACCUAACCCUACCCCUUACAGGAAACUUUCUGCUAUUUCAGAUUUUUAAUACGCAUUAUAAGCGUUUUGAAAAGUGGGGACAUGGGGUAAAGUCCUGAAAAAUCACAUUCAUACAUAUGUUAUACCCAUGUCAUUAUACACAUUUGUCCUCAUUUUUCAUUAAAAAAAUGCACACACAGUUUAUCUAAUUCUAUUUUGUAUUACAUUUUUGUUUCAGUUAAUGAUAAACAUACUAUAAAAAUUAAGUUGCUUCAUUUACUGACUGUUGAAAGAACAAAAUAGUUUUCAUUUGUACCCUGUUUAUGAGAAGUGUUUGAGUUUCAGGUUUAAGUUGUCCAUUACCAGC